AACGAACGUUAGCGGCGCGCCUAACACAUGCAAGUCGCACGAGGAAGGGCUUCGGCCCCGGUACAGUGGCGCACGGGUGAGUAACACGUAGAUCAUCUCCCCUCGAGUGGUGGAUAACUUUCCGAAAGGAAAGCUAAUACAGCAUAAGACCACGGCUUCGUUGAAGCUGCGGCCAAAGCAGGCCUCUACACGUAAGCUUGCGCUUGAGGAUGAGUCUGCGGCCCANCAGCUAGUUGGUAGGGUAAUGGCCUACCAAGGCUAAGACGGGUAGCUGGUCUGAGAGGAUGAACAGCCACACUGGAACUGAGACACGGUCCAGACUCCUACGGGAGGCAGCAGUGGGGAAUCUUGCGCAAUGGGCGAAAGCCUGACGCAGCGACGCCGCGUGAGCGAUGAAGGCCUU
Molecule: ribosomal RNA, 403 nt
Filed under: uncultured bacterium
Lineage: Bacteria
Description: bacterial SSU rRNA
Rfam family: Bacterial small subunit ribosomal RNA
Source: RNAcentral